This 391-nucleotide unclassified non-coding RNA is filed under the name soil metagenome. Its description in RNAcentral is "partial contains 5.8S ribosomal RNA, internal transcribed spacer 2, and large subunit ribosomal RNA". The stretch from base 1 to 122 matches the Rfam family "5.8S ribosomal RNA", at positions 35 to 154 of the family's 154-position model. The record is from RNAcentral.
GAUGAAGAACGUAGCGAAAUGCGAUACUUGGUGUGAAUUGCAGAAUCCCGUGAACCAUCGAGUCUUUGAACGCAAGUUGCGCCCGAAGCCACUAGGCCGAGGGCACGCCUGCCUGGGCGUCACACGCCGUUGCCCCCCCAUCUACUCCUUCGGGAUUGCGGGGGGGCGGAUGAUGGCCUCCCGUGCGCCUAGCCGCGCGGUUGGCAUAAAUACCAAGUCCUCGGCGACGCACGCCACGACAAUCGGUGGUUGCGAAACCUCGGUUGCCCGUCGUGUGCGUUCGUCGCGCAUCCAGGGCUCGAAAAAAUGCUCGGCUCCGGCUGGGCUUUCAACGCGACCCCAGGUCAGGCGGGGUUACCCGCUGAAUUUAAGCAUAUCAAUAAGCGGAGGA